This 406-nucleotide ribosomal RNA is filed under the name uncultured bacterium. RNAcentral's name for it is "partial 16S ribosomal RNA". It matches the Rfam family "Bacterial small subunit ribosomal RNA", at positions 30 to 526 of the family's 1533-position model. The record is from RNAcentral.
AUUGAACGCUGGCGGCAGGCCUAACCCAUGCAAGUCGAACGAGUGGCGGACGGGUGAGUAAUGUCUGGGAAACUGCCUGAUGGAGGGGGAUAACUACUGUAAACGGUAGCUACUACCGCAUAACAUCAGAUGUGACCAGAUGGGCGGUGCUUGUUGGUGGGGUAACGGCUCACCAAGGCGACGAUCCCUAGCUGGUCUGAGAGGAUGACCAGCCACACUGGAACUGAGACACGGUCCAGACUCUUACGGGAGGCAGAAGUGGGGAAGACUGCAAAACGGGCGCAAGCCGGAUGCAGCCAUGCCUCGUGUAUGAAGAAGGCCUUCGGGUUGUAAAGUACUUUCAGCGGUGAGGCGUUAACCGCAGAAGAAGCACCGGCUAACUCCGUGCAAGCAGCCGCGGUAAUUC